AGAGAGAGAGAGAGAGAGAGAAAGAGAGACAGAGAGAGAGAGAGAGAGAGAGGGAGAGAGAGAGAGAUGGAGAGAAAGAGGGGCAGAGAUGCUUGCAAGGAAUUUUGAGAGUGUGUGCAAGAGAGUGAGCCCCUGCUGAUCUUUACAAGGACACCAGGGCCUGACCAAGCCAUGACCUCUAGGUCAUAGUUCAAAGAUCAUCUCCUCUCUUCUAAAUUCAUUGAAUUCCUCUUGGACACAGUGCAACCCCCUUGAAGUCUAAACUAAGAUCAAGAUUGAGUCCCAAAUGGCAGCCUAUUCCCCGCACGGUGCACUACUUUUGACCAGUCUCAUAGUAAAAGUAGUGCACUAAAUAGGGAACAGAGUGCCAUUGGGGACGCAUACCAACAGCCUACACAAGGAUUGACAUUCCUCUGCACUCAUCUCAUUACCUUCCUCUAUCCUUCAGUCUAUUCUGGGCUAGUUAAUGUGGUUGGCCAUGUUCCCACCGAUUUUACCUUAAAGGGACAUUUCACCACUGCUCUAUAUCACUGUAUAUCACCCUUAUCAUGGUAUUAAAAUAGGUGUAAUAUUUUUUUUUUUAAAGGCAUUUCUUCCCAACACGCAAAUACAAGCAUUUCUGCAUCUCACCGGUAGAAACGGGCCAUCUACAUUUCCUGGUUUAAAGCAAACCAGAAUAUUCUGAAUUCAUCGGUAUUUCAGGACGUAGUGCCGCCCCGUGGACGUGUAUCCAGUUGACGUGAGAAAUAUUUGUUAAAAAUGUUCGUAGCUUUCAGCCGGUGGAUUUCUAAACGGACCUGAAGUCUCAAAUUGAUGGGGUUGCCAUGUCGUCGAACUUCGGAAAGUGAUGCUAUUCCAUCCAUUCUCCCCUUCACGUCAAAGAGGAAGGCAUCCGAUCAGCCAACAUCAGAUCAGCAGGAAAGAAGUCGAGCUGAGAGUCUGAUCCCAUGAACAUCUGCCGAGGCGUCAACAUCAAGCUCAGUAUAGGGAACUUAGUACUAAUCCUGCUACUGACCUGGACACCAGCUUCAGUUGUACAGAGCCUGUAGACACAUUGGAUGAAAGCUUUCACCCUGGAAGGAACUCAAGAUCAACAUCAUGUGACUUUGAAAUUAGCCAGGACAGCCAAAUGUAUUUAUGAAAGCACAAUCCCCUCUUGAGAAAACAAAAUCACUAAAACACACAAGCCAAGUGUUUCUUCAAACUUGUCACACCCAUGUAGCCAGUUGUUUGGCAUGAGGGAGAGAGGCUGUUAGUGGGCUUUUCUAGCCUCACCCAUGUAGCCAGUUGUUUGGCAUGAGGGAGAGAGGCUGUUAGUGUGCUUUUCUAGCCUCACCCAUGUAGCCAGUUGUUUGGCAUGAGGGAGAGAGGCUGUUAGUGGGCUUUUCUAGCCUCACCCAUGUAGCCAGUUGUUUGGCAUGAGGGAGAGAGGCUGUUAGUGUGCUCUUCUAGCCUCACCCAUGUAGCCAGUUGUUUGGCAUGAGGGAGAGAGGCUGUUAGUGGGCUUUUCUAGCCUAUCCACUAUGCUGUUGGCAGUGUUCUCCUCAACAGCACAACUGUAGGCGCUCAUACACAAAAA
This is a long non-coding RNA of Oncorhynchus tshawytscha (Chinook salmon), 1579 nucleotides long. RefSeq lists it as uncharacterized. The record is from RefSeq and is a predicted model, not a curated record. The transcript is spliced from 3 exons. NCBI's taxonomy places the organism in Eukaryota, Metazoa, Chordata, Actinopteri, Salmoniformes, Salmonidae.